Molecule: long non-coding RNA, 1489 nt
Filed under: Pongo abelii (Sumatran orangutan)
Lineage: Eukaryota; Metazoa; Chordata; Mammalia; Primates; Hominidae
Description: lincRNA
Source: RNAcentral
UCCUGGCCGCGGCGCCGCUCGCGUUCGCCGUCCCGUUCCUCCGGGCCCGGAUCCCACGCUCCGGGCUUUGGCUGCGACCAAGUAGGUAGUCGGGGCGAAGGAAACGGGAACUGAAAGCGAUGAAAAGCGUCCCACACGCCACGAGCCCGCGGGAUCCUCGGAGAGUAAGGAACGCUUCCCCUCCGCUCUCAGCCGGAGGCCGGCUGCGUCCAGCCGGGCUCGGUCUUCUGAACACCGAUUUCAAAUCAGCUCCCCGGGGCCCAGCGUGACUUAGGGAACUGGUGGCAUUUUGUGGUUGCUGCUAAAUCACGGAGAGCAGCCUUGGUGCUGCCGGUCCCAACUUGAUCCAAGGAGCCAUGAGAAGGAGAUGAGAUUCAGUAUCAGGGGGCGGCCGUGGCUCCCAUCCUCCAGAAUCUGCAAAAUGGCUACUUCUUCAGAAAUAAUGGGGAGAGGGAUGGCAAGAGGCCAGAGAUCAAGGCCCUCGAGUAUUAACUCGAGCAUUUGGGCACAAAAUAGACACUUUUGGAUUUUCCAACACCAAGGAUGAGAUUAUCAAAAGAUGUGUUAAGAAAUUAAUUUGUACCGGCCGGGCGCGGGGGCUCACGCCUGUAAUCCCAACACUUUGGGAGGCCGAGGCGGGCGAAUCACAAGGUCAUGAGUUCGAGACCAGCCUGGCCAAUAUGGUGAAACCCCGUCUCUACUAAAAAUACAGAAAUUAGCCGGGAGUGGUGGCGGAUGCCUGUAGUCCCAGCUACUCUGGAGGCUAAGGCAGGAGAAUCGCUUGAACCCGGGAGGCGGAGGUCGUAGUGAGCGGAGACCGGGCCACUGCACUCCAGCCUGGGAGACAGAGCGAGACUCUGUCUCAAAAAAAAAAAAAAAAAAAAAAAUAUCCAUUUGUACCAUUCCUUGCCCCCCCCCCACCCCGAACUUAUUGAAAGAGCAUCACUUUCCUCACUUUUCUCUUCUCCUCUAACAGAAAAGCACUUAGAUGAAGCUACAGGGAGCCAGAAUUCUUUUGACUUGGUGGGUACUGGAGGAUUGGAAGAAUCUAGAUUGAGUAUUCCUUGGCCUUUGGGGAGCUUGUUCUAUGCAAAGUCACCUAGGAAAUGAUACUUCCCCCACUGUGAAACACUAGCUAGAGAUGAUAGACAAAAAGCACAUUUGUUGUAAUCUCCCUUUGACGGGAUUCAGGUUAGGAUAGAUGUCGAAGCAGCUGCUUCUAGGUAGUCAACGAAGAUGUCAACUAGUAAAUGACAACAGACAAGGAUGAUCACAGCAGAGUUGUAAGAUUCUAGAUAUCAAAAAGAGCAAGCAGUCUUUUGUACUCACCAUCGCAUCCUCAGCAGCUGCCCAGUGCCCGGUUUUAACUUAGUGCUCAGUGUAUGUGUCAGGUUUGAAUCCCAAUUCUGACACUACCUGUGCUACUCUCUUCACCUCUCUGAGUCUGUAAAGGAUUAUUUAAGAAUUAAAUGAAACAAGAUACAGAAAA